GACGAACGCUGGCGGCGUGCUUAACACAUGCAAGUCGAACGGAAAGGCCUUGUUUUUGUGGGGUGUUCGAGUUGCUCACGGGUGAGUAACACGUGAGUAACCUGACUUUGCUUCUGGGAACUUUUGUGGAAACCUGGGCUAAUACCGCUUAGGCGCUCCUGCUCCAUGGUGGGGGUUGGAAGGUUUCGGCGGUUGGUGUUGGACUUGCGGCUUAUCAGCCUGUUGGUGGGGUUGUGGCUUACCAAGUCUGUGACCGGUAGCCGGCCUGCAAGUGUGACCGGCCACAAUGCGAAGGAGAGACGGGCGAGACUCCUACGGGAGGCAGGAGUGAGGAGUAGUGCACAAUGGUCGGAAGGCUGAGGCAGCAACGCCGCGUGCGGGAUGGCGGCCUUCUGUUGGUAGACCGCAUGCGCCUGGGACGAAGCGGUAGUGACGGUAAUGGGUGAAGAAGCACCGGCUAACUACGUG
RNAcentral lists this ribosomal RNA (468 nucleotides) under uncultured bacterium. RNAcentral describes it as "partial 16S ribosomal RNA". It matches the Rfam family "Bacterial small subunit ribosomal RNA", at positions 28 to 507 of the family's 1533-position model. The record is from RNAcentral.